This 347-nucleotide ribosomal RNA is filed under the name Penaeus vannamei (Pacific white shrimp). RNAcentral describes it as "partial 12S ribosomal RNA". It matches the Rfam family "Microsporidia small subunit ribosomal RNA", at positions 769 to 1213 of the family's 1311-position model. The record is from RNAcentral. Lineage: Eukaryota; Metazoa; Arthropoda; Malacostraca; Decapoda; Penaeidae.
UCUUGAAACUCAAAGGAUUUGGCGGUAACUUAGUCUAUUUAGAGGAACCUGUCCUGUAAUCGAUAGUCCACGAAAAAUCUUACUUUAUCUUGUAGAAAUCAGUUUGUAUACCGUCAUUAUUAGAUAACUUUAAUAAAAUUUAAAGUUGUUGGAAUAGUCUAGCUAAUAUAUUAGAUCAAGGUGCAGCUUAUGAUAAAGAAAGAGAUGGGUUACAUUGUAAUAAAUAUAAACGGAACAACAAAUGAAGGUUUGUUGUUGAAGGUGGAUUUAAAAGUAAUAAGAUUUUAAUAAGAUCUUCUGAGUUUAGCUCUAGGUUAUGUACACAUCGCCCGUCGCUCGCGGGAAAA